UCACCCCUCAAGCCCCCUGGCUUGGUGUUGGACGGUUUGGUGGAGGCCCGUUUUACCGGGUCGCUGCCCCUCCCAAAGACAAUGACGGCGGCCUCGUUGGACCCCCGGUACACUGAGUUCUUCACGGGACACGUACUGGACACAAGGGUGCGCGGGGCACGGUCUGCCUCCCCUCUAGGGAGAAAUUUCUUAA
This 193-nucleotide unclassified non-coding RNA is filed under the name uncultured Veronaea. RNAcentral's name for it is "sequence contains ITS2". The record is from RNAcentral. Lineage: Eukaryota; Fungi; Ascomycota; Eurotiomycetes; Chaetothyriales; Herpotrichiellaceae.